This 53-nucleotide non-coding RNA is filed under the name unclassified sequences. The record is from Rfam.
CGCAGAGUGACGCCCGCAAGGGCGGUAAUGCGGAAGGCCGGUCACAAGCCCGG